GGUCGCGUAGCUCAGUUGGAUAGAGCGCCAGAUUCCGAAUCUGGGGGUCGGGGAUUCGAGUUCCUCCGCGAUCGCCA
This 77-nucleotide transfer RNA is filed under the name Alphaproteobacteria bacterium. RNAcentral's name for it is "tRNA-Arg". It matches the Rfam family "tRNA". Rfam says of the family: Transfer RNA (tRNA) molecules are approximately 80 nucleotides in length. Their secondary structure includes four short double-helical elements and three loops (D, anti-codon, and T loops). Lineage: Bacteria; Pseudomonadati; Pseudomonadota; Alphaproteobacteria. The record is from RNAcentral.